This 500-nucleotide ribosomal RNA is filed under the name Comamonadaceae bacterium NA-JUNE-E-2H. RNAcentral's name for it is "bacterial SSU rRNA". It matches the Rfam family "Bacterial small subunit ribosomal RNA", at positions 143 to 638 of the family's 1533-position model. The record is from RNAcentral. Lineage: Bacteria; Pseudomonadati; Pseudomonadota; Betaproteobacteria; Burkholderiales; Comamonadaceae.
AUAACGCAGCGAAAGCUGUGCUAAUACCGCAUAAGAUCUACGGAUGAAAGCAGGGGAUCGCAAGACCUUGCGCGAAUGGAGCGGCCGAUGGCAGAUUAGGUAGUUGGUGAGGUAAAGGCUCACCAAGCCUUCGAUCUGUAGCUGGUCUGAGAGGACGACCAGCCACACUGGGACUGAGACACGGCCCAGACUCCUACGGGAGGCAGCAGUGGGGAAUUUUGGACAAUGGGCGAAAGCCUGAUCCAGCCAUGCCGCGUGCAGGAUGAAGGCCUUCGGGUUGUAAACUGCUUUUGUACGGAACGAAAAGUCUCUUUCUAAUAAAGAGAGAUCAUGACGGUACCGUAAGAAUAAGCACCGGCUAACUACGUGCCAGCAGCCGCGGUAAUACGUAGGGUGCAAGCGUUAAUCGGAAUUACUGGGCGUAAAGCGUGCGCAGGCGGUUAUAUAAGACAGUUGUGAAAUCCCCGGGCUCAACCUGGGAACUGCAUCUGUGACUGUAU